RNAcentral lists this ribosomal RNA (513 nucleotides) under uncultured bacterium. Its description in RNAcentral is "bacterial SSU rRNA". It matches the Rfam family "Bacterial small subunit ribosomal RNA", at positions 32 to 518 of the family's 1533-position model. The record is from RNAcentral.
GGUCGAGACGACGCUGGCGGCGUGCUUAACACAUGCAAGUCGAACGGAGAUUCAGCAAUGGAUCUUAGUGGCGGAACGGGUGAGUAACGCGUAGGCAAUCUGCCUUCUAGAUGGGGACAACAUCCCGAAAGGGGUGCUAAUACCGAAUGUUGUACCGUUUCCGCAUGGAGAUGAUACUAAAGGUGGCCUCUGAAUAUGCUACCGCUAGAAGAUGAGCCUGCGUCUGAUUAGCUAGUUGGAGGGGUAACGGCCCACCAAGGCUUCGAUCAGUAGCCGGUCUGAGAGGAUGAACGGCCACACUGGGACUGAGACACGGCCCAGACUCCUACGGGAGGCAGCAGUGGGGAAUCUUCCGCAAUGGACGAAAGUCUGACGGAGCAACGCCGCGUGAGUGAAGAAGGUUUUCGGAUCGUAAAGCUCUUUCGUUAGGGACGAACGUGCUCUUUGUGAAUAAUGAGGAGUAAUGACGGUACCUAAAUAAGAAGCCACGGCUAACUACGUGCCAGCCGCCGC